Non-coding RNA from Microcebus murinus (gray mouse lemur), 823 nucleotides. The record is from RefSeq and is a predicted model, not a curated record. Lineage: Eukaryota; Metazoa; Chordata; Mammalia; Primates; Cheirogaleidae.
CAGCGCAGGCUGCCGCCAUGAUGAAGUUGUGAGUGGCCGGGGUCCGUUGCGUGGUGGCCAUGUUCUUCCUUAUGCUGCCUGGCUCUGUGCAACCUGUGGAGAUCAUGGAGACAGAUUUCCAAGAGGCCCAUUGCUUGGAAAAGAUGCGAAAAAGAUCCUUUCACUCUGCAACACCAUUGGAGGCCGGGGCUUCCGGGCCACGUGCUUCAGCGCUCUGCUGCCUGCCCCUCGAAGUAAAAGGAGGUUCCCGGGGGGCAGUAGCAGCCCUCGGGCCUUAUGGCCAAGGGGCUCUGAUGCGUUUUCAACACUGAUUCCAAGUUCAGUGGGGGGCCUUGACUUAUUAAGGGUGAUAGGAAGUAGAAAACGAGUUUGCUGUGCGUGAGGAGGAAGCGCUGUGGCCAGUGAGUGUUCCGGAGCAGGCUUCGGAAGUUGGAAGAAAAGGCAGGUGGCGGCAGAAAGAUUGAGUGGGCACUGGAGCAGACGGCAUUUAAGCUAUCCAAGUCCGCUGGGCAAGAGGAGGACAGCUAACAUUCUAACAAAGGCUUCUUCCAAAGUAGAAAGACUGCUGCAUUUUCUACCCUGAUUUGCUGUGGAAAACUUGUGUUGAAGAAGAAUGUCUGGUGUGCAGAUUUUUCCCAAUGUCUGAUCAUGUCUCACUGUAUUUAUGAAUCUUUUGAAGUGGGUUGUACUCCAAUAUUAAUGUUUUAGCAUCCUGGAAGAAGUUGAAGCAUUCUCAGUGCCAUCUUCCAAUCCUGGAAAUACGACCUUUACAACUGUCCAUCGCUCUUAGUAAAACUCACAAGAACUCAUCUUCUGGAGAACA